ACCGGUUUGUUUUUACUUAUAUAGAGCUGGAGUUCCUAAAUUGUGGGACUGACCUUACUAGGAUGCCCAGAGCAAUUGCUGAAGGGGUAGGGAUAGCAUAAAAUGCAGUAAAAGUGUAAAUUUAAGAGAAUAUGCCUAUAGCUGGUACAUAAGACUGUAAGAAUCCCGUGAUUUAAAGGAAUUAAAUAUGAUGCAUGGGUAUCAAGAGUAAUAUAGUAUAGCUAAUAUUUACACUAACCCACUGGUACAAUAAAUCCUUAUCUGAAUCAGGUAACAAUGCAAGUGAAAGGAGGGCGGGUUUAUAUUUUUCAUCCCAGACACAUUCUCCCGAUCUUUGUGCAACUCUUGAAUCUUCUGAAAAUUCUUCAAUCGCUUCUCAGACUCGUGAAACUCUUUCUGUGGCUUGUGAGACUGAUGAAGGUCUUGGUGUGACUCGAGCAGAUCUUGAGCAUCUGUUGUCGAUCCAUAUUGGGAGGUGCUGGACCCCACGCCUGAUAUCCACGCCCCAUUGGAUGAAUAUAAUAGGAAGUUCUUUCGUGGACAGUUGCCUCCAAUGAACCUGAAAUGGAGUAACAGGUUGUGCAUAACUGUUGGCAUCUUGCUAUACGAUCCUAUACAAGUGGAAGAUGCAGAAUUCCACUGAACAAGCCUAUUCUUGAUUUACGGCCAAGGAAAGAUACAGUGGAAACGCUCCUGCAUGAAAUGAUCCACUACUACCAGCGAGUUAAAGGAACACUUGACAUAGAUCAUGGCCGAACCUUUCACUGUCACAUGGAGCGUAUCAAUAGAGAAAGUGGUGCCAAUAUUACAAUCUAUCAUGAUUUCUAUAAUAAAUAGCAGUCACUGAAGCGCCACUGGUGGAAACGCAACAAUGGCCCCUGCACACAAGUAGUGAGGCGGCUCAUGUACAGGACCCCGCGCUCCAAGGCGCACAAGCGCAAAUGUGGAGAAGAGUUUAUAAAGAUCAGCCAACCAAACAAGAGAUUGAGACUGGACCAAUAGAAUCACUUUGGCAAUAUUAUAGAGACUUACUUCUUGCUGUUAUAUUGAGAUGCUGGCCAAGAACAAAUUCAAAUGAGCAGCCAUAAGUUUAAUAUUGGCUAAUUGAUAUAAGGCACGGUGCUAUAAAGAGGAACAGAACAUACAGCUGAAGUGGCCAGUGGAAGGGAUACAAGUUGGAACUGUGACUGUUCCAGUGGAUACAGAUCAAGAGGCCAAUUUUUCUUAUUUUGCUUAUUUGCGAGAGAGCAAAUUAUUUUCUCUUUCCCUUCCACCUUAUUUAAUGGACAUUCGAUGUAUUUAAUUGUGCAAUGAAUAGAGCCAGGGAACAUUUGAGUCAGAUAAAGAACCCGCGAAUGGCUGAAAAGAGCAAUGUCACUAGGCACUUUAAUACAUGUAAUGGAAACUCCCUAGAAUCUUUUAGCAUUCAGGGGAUAGAGAGAGUCAGAUUGGGGGAAAGAGGAGGAGAUCAGUUGAGCCUCUUGGAGAGGAGAGAAGUAUUCUGGAUAUUCCAUCUGAGCACGCGCUUGCCCUUAGGACUUAAUCAUGAAUUUGAUGUUACUUGUUAUACGUGAAAAGGCUAAUAUUGAUAUCUAGUUUAAAAAGGGAGCAAUUGACGGUCUAGGAACAACAAAUGCAAAGGAAGUGAGUGGUACUGAUGUUUGGUUAUUAUACUAAUUUUGUGAGAUAUACUAUUAUACAUACUUAAGGAUUGAAUUUAUAAAUAGUGACUAUUGUAUAUACAUAGCAAUUGGAUUUAUAAAUAUACACACAAGUAAAAUAUUAAGAAAUUAAACCCCAUUUGGGCAUGGUUGAACAGUAAUUAACACAAUAGGGUUAAUCCCUCAAAGAUUCUGAUUGGUUUUAAACAAAGUGGGAGGGACUGAUAGGGUAUAAAUCCCGCAGAGGUUGUGUGGUCUACAGAUACACCUAUGACUAA
Long non-coding RNA from Xenopus laevis (African clawed frog), 1939 nucleotides. RefSeq lists it as uncharacterized. Lineage: Eukaryota; Metazoa; Chordata; Amphibia; Anura; Pipidae. The transcript is spliced from 4 exons. The record is from RefSeq and is a predicted model, not a curated record.